Long non-coding RNA from Lolium rigidum, 3496 nucleotides. RefSeq lists it as uncharacterized. The transcript has 9 exons. NCBI's taxonomy places the organism in Eukaryota, Viridiplantae, Streptophyta, Magnoliopsida, Poales, Poaceae. The record is from RefSeq and is a predicted model, not a curated record.
CAUCCACUGGCUCCUUCUUUAUCUCCUCUUUUGCGUCGAAACCCUAUCCCAAUCCUCUCCAAUCCCGCAGCCGCCGCCUCCCUUGCUCCGGCGAGCCGCCGCCGGCCUCCUCUUCGGCGAGUGUUGUCGGCUGCGUCCUCCCAAAUCUCUGCACUCAUCUCUCCCCCAAUCCCCUCCUCCAUCUCUCCCCAAAUCCCCUCCAGUUCCUCUUCGCCUCUUAUCCUCCGCUGGUCUUCUCCAUGGCUGGAGAGGCAAAGGGAACCAUGGCACCAUGGAUGAGGAGACGGAGCUCGAUGUGGAGGAGCACCCGUGAUGUCCCAGCAGCGCCCAGGGAGGUGGAGCAAUAUUUUUUACCUAGGCUUCCCAUCUCCUUCCUAAAACUUCUUCUUAUUUGCUUCCCUGUUGUAAGGUUGCAGGUGUGCUGGCAAGGUGUUUGUGUAAAUGCCUUAGGGAAAAAACUGCUAUGAAAAAGAUGCUCGAGAUGCUACUGCCCUCAUACCCAUCAACCCAUCAAGGAGAGGCUACUCGUGCUGCAACAAUUGGACACAUGACAUUGAUUCCAACCAGGAGGAUGUGUUGGCCGCUGCUGUGCACCGCCGUCACGCCGCUCGUGUCGGGGCCAGCAGCUGAAGAUCAUUCGACUAGUGCCAAGAUUGGCGUAUGAGGCACUGAUGGUGCUGGCUGGCCGCCGAAGGUAGAAGGAUAAGCGCAAAUUCGUCAACAUGGACAAUUUACUCUGGACGUUGGACAUGGAGGGUAUAGUAAAGAAGUGCAAAUUCAUCAACAUGGACAAUUUACUCUGGACACGGAUGGUACGGUAAAGGUUUGUUAGUUCAUAUUGGACAGAGGUAUAUAGUUCAAGUUUUCUACUCCGUACUUCAUAAACUAAUCAAAGGACGCAUACUUAUCUUUGAAACACAAUCUCAAUGAUUAGUGUCUUUAUGCGACCAGUGAAAUAGUAAAAGAAGAGCAGAAACCACUCUUAUUUAUGAUUUUACUGUUUUGGCUCUCUAAUGUCUUGCUUGUUUUGCAAAGUAAUAAAAUCCUCUAGUGUUCAAAAAAUUCAUUAGCUAUGGUUUUCCACACCUCGGCCUACUUCGUAUGAAUACAGAUAACUGGGAUACACACAGGUUUUGAUAUUUAGUGUCUUCGUUUUGUUGUUUGCUAAAUUUUGGGUUGUGAUUUUGUUGUUUACUAAUGAAAUAAUUAUGCUCCAGAUAAGGGUUCUUGCACAUCACUAAGCACUAUUCAGCUUGUUCUCUUAAAUAAAAUUACCUGCUUAUUUCGUGUACCUGCGUAUUUCUUGCUUAUGUAUGUGUUUAAAUUACAAUAGAUUUUGUAAUUGCUAUGUGUAGUAGUCUGUACAUUCUCUGUGUACUUGUUCACAGACUAUUUAUCGUCGAUUUGUAUUAAUAUUUAAUAUACUGUUUUACCGGUGGUUCAAUAGUGUGAAAGGAGGCGGUCGUGGUGCCUCAAGCAUGCAGAAGUAGUUGUUAAGGUUGCUGCCCAACACUUUGUUGGAGAUGAUCGCAAGUGGAGCUUCCUUGCUCAUACACAUGUGUUUCUUUUUCUUGGUUUUAUAUCUGUAACUGUGAUGUAUUUCUAGCUUGUUCCAGAUAACUUGUAAAUGUUGUGGAACAUUUCAGGGGAUGUGUGGAUGUGACAGGUCAUCCGCCUUCAGAGAGAGAGGCUACAAGAUGCCCUUACAGGAAGGGGAGGUGGAGAAUGAAGAGGAGGGUAUUAUUGCAGAUAAUCAUGGAGCCAAAUGUAACGGUGUGUCAGUCAUCUAUCCGAUGAAUGGACAUCCCCAAAAGUCCAUGAGAUUGGGUCUAAUGGUCUGGAUGGAACAGCUGGAUUUAUUUCAUAAGUUUGGAGGGAAGAGCAGUAGCUUCUUUGAAUGCAAAGAUGAUGUCAGAUGCAAUGUGGAUGACGAGGCUCUAACCUACUCCUGUUCCACCUGUGAUGGAGGUUGAGAACCCAAUUUGCAACUAUAGUCUUCUAAAGGGGUUUCUGGGCGCUUGUUUAUGUCAGCGGAGGCCGUUCACACAUACCUAUGGAAACUUAAGAAAGAAGUAAUGCAUGCCACUCUGGUAAAAGACAUCUCACCUUGAUCUCAACGGAAUGUUCUUGUGUGUGUUUCGUGGAUCUGGGAGAACAAUGACCAAGAACAGAAUGUGUAUGAAUUGGGUUACAUUUUUGUUGACCAACUGCUGCCACUACAUAAUCUUCUAGAGAGGUUUGAUCGAGGUAUAUAUCUUGGCGUUCCAGAUGAGCACGGAAGAAAUAAAAUUCUAAUGAUGCUUACACAAAACUGUAAACUGAAAGCAGAUGGCCGAUUUGACCUGCUAAAGAUGGCACGAGCUAUACCAGGAUUUGUUCGGCACCAUGCGAUGUCAUGCUCGACACCAAGAGGCUACAAAAAAGAUCAAUUAUUACUUAAUGGGUGUCAUAGAUGAAAGUCCUUUCAUCAGUUCAACUCUGCAGCCUACCAGCAGCUUGCUCUCAGGAUAAUCCCAAAAGGUGUUUCAGUAAUAGAUACCAUUUCUUCAUUAGUUCAGUAUCCGGGCCGCAUGGGCGUGAAGGCUUUUUUUCAUCGGUUCAAUAUAUAUCUUUGCCACAUGUGUAUGAAAUCGAAUAGGUUACAGUUGGCAAUGCAAGCAAUCUGAGUGAAAGAAUUCAUACCUCGAGGGUCUCAAAGGAAUUUUGUUGCGCGUGUAUCCCAGAUCUGGGAGAACAUGGAUCAAGAACAAAAUGUCUCUGAACUAGGGUUCAUUCUUGUGGAGAAACUGUCCUCGCGUUGCCGACUUGCCAUUGCCAUCCCCAGCAGCUCUGAUCACGCAUGACUGUUGGCAAUCGACGCCGUACUGGCGUUUGGCGUUUGCCGUUCCAGCCUCGCCUACAAUGACGACGACUGACGCCACAGUACCGGUGGACAUUGGGGAUGGUCCACGCCGGUGAGAUGGUCUCCCCAGGCACGGCCGCCACCCUUGCAGGACUUCGCCGGAUACAGGGCUGCGUCCGGCCUUCCUAGCGACCUCCUGGUCAGUUGUACAACCUAUGCUCCACCUGCGGAAGCAAUCACUUAAUCACUUAUGGCGAUGUGAUUAUUGCUGCCCAUGUUAGCGCCUCCGUCCACCGCACUACCCGGCAUGCUGAUGGGAUCAAGCACUCAAAUUGGUGAUGUUUUUUGCGUCAAGACAGACGGUGCUGACGAACUAUUGAAUCAUAUUGAUGUGCAUUUGAGCAUGCUCACCUGCAUAAACUAGAAUCAGAGGCAGAGUGAGAAAGGGGAUCUGGAGAAGAAAAGCAAUCUUGGCGUACGACUCUGUAUAGUGCCUGAAAGCGGUGCUGCCCGCGUGUCAGGUGCAUGUUUUGUCCUCUGCUUCUCCUUUUUUGGUAUAAUAACUUGUCAUGUCGUGUGUGCUUUAUUUUUACUAUAGGCACACGAAUGGGCAUCCGAACUUUUUUCCCGAUCAAAAUAAGCCUGAUUAUUGUA